AACGUAGGAGACAAACGUUAUCCGGAGUUACUGGGCGUAAAGGGCGUGUAGGCGGUUAGUUAAGUCUGGCGUGAAAGCUCUCGGCUAAACCGGGAGAGGGCGUCGGAUACUGGCAAACUAGAGGACGGUAGAGGCGUGUGGAAUUCCGGGUGUAGUGGUGAAAUGCGUAGAGAUCCGGAGGAACACCAGUGGCGAAGGCGACACGCUGGGCCGUACCUGACGCUAAAGCGCGACAGCAUGGGGAGCGAACGGG
This 253-nucleotide ribosomal RNA is filed under the name uncultured bacterium. RNAcentral's name for it is "partial 16S ribosomal RNA". It matches the Rfam family "Bacterial small subunit ribosomal RNA", at positions 524 to 776 of the family's 1533-position model. The record is from RNAcentral.